This 251-nucleotide ribosomal RNA is filed under the name uncultured bacterium. Its description in RNAcentral is "partial 16S ribosomal RNA". It matches the Rfam family "Bacterial small subunit ribosomal RNA", at positions 524 to 773 of the family's 1533-position model. The record is from RNAcentral.
UACGAAGGGGGCUAGCGUUGCUCGGAAUCACUGGGCGUAAAGGGUGCGUAGGCGGGUCUUUUAAGUCAGGGGUGAAAUCCUGGAGCUCAACUCCAGAACUGCCUUUGAUACUGAAGAUCUUGAGUUCGGGAGAGGUGAGUGGAACUGCGAGUGUAGAGGUGAAAUUCGUAGAUAUUCGCAAGAACACCAGUGGCGAAGGCGGCUCACUGGCCCGAUACUGACGCUGAGGCACGAAAGCGUGGGGAGCAAAC